RNAcentral lists this transfer RNA (58 nucleotides) under Perkinsus olseni. It matches the Rfam family "tRNA", at positions 8 to 63 of the family's 71-position model. Rfam says of the family: Transfer RNA (tRNA) molecules are approximately 80 nucleotides in length. Their secondary structure includes four short double-helical elements and three loops (D, anti-codon, and T loops). Further hydrogen bonds mediate the characteristic L-shaped molecular structure. tRNAs have two regions of fundamental functional importance: the anti-codon, which is responsible for specific mRNA codon recognition, and the 3' end, to which the tRNAs corresponding amino acid is attached (by aminoacyl-tRNA synthetases). tRNAs cope with the degeneracy of the genetic code in two manners: having more than one tRNA (with a specific anti-codon) for a particular amino acid; and 'wobble' base-pairing, i.e. permitting non-standard base-pairing at the 3rd anti-codon position. The record is from Rfam by way of RNAcentral. Lineage: Eukaryota; Perkinsozoa; Perkinsida; Perkinsidae.
UAGCUCAGUUGGGAGAGCGCCAGACUGAAGAUCUGGAGGUCCUCAGUUCGAUCCUGGG